AGAAUGAACGUUGGCGGCGUGGAUUAGGCAUGCAAGUCGUGCGCGAACUGUAGCAAUACAGGGAGAGCGGCGAAAGGGAGAGUAAUACAUGGUUAGCUGCCCUCGGGUCUGGGAUAGGCGGCGGGAAACUGACCGGUAAUACCGGAUGAUAUCUUCGGAUACAAGGUGUGACUUCCGCCGAGGAGGUCGACCGUGUCCUAUCAGCUAGUUGGUGAGGUA
Molecule: ribosomal RNA, 219 nt
Filed under: uncultured soil bacterium
Lineage: Bacteria
Description: partial 16S ribosomal RNA
Rfam family: Bacterial small subunit ribosomal RNA
Source: RNAcentral